CUCAAGAUUAAGCCAUGCAAGUGGUUACAUUAACCCGACAGUUUAAAUAAGUGUUCAAUGCUAUCACGCAUAUAUGCAAUGCAUGCAAAAAUAUAUUUACGCAUACACACACACACACCCGCGCAUAUAUAUUAAGGCAAGCAACGCAUGAAUUUUGUUUACGAUAGUAACAAAAUUUCAGCGUGAAUCACACAUACGCACACAGUGAAUCAAAGCGAAAUUUUACAAUUUCAACGUAUCACUUACGCAACUGCAGACAGCUGCUUAAUACAGUCACACUUGUCUUGACUUGGCACACACACACACACACACACACGAUUUCUCUGUAUCGCAUAUUCAUACAAGAAGAAAAUUGCGUUACACCGUGACACUUUUUAUCUUUUUUAUGGAUAACUCAGGGAAAGUUUGGCUAAUACGUACGAGUACAAUACACACACACACACACACACACACUCUAUACAMUACUCAACACUCAGUGRUAAUCUUUGAUUUAYGUGUAUUCUUACGCGUCUAUCAWUAUAAAGUUUAAUCGCAACAUGAGAGACAUUGAGCACGCACGUGUARUGUGAAUUUAUUCACGUUACACACCCACGCUGAGCAGACUKUGCGAAGUUUACUUUUGCGAAGCAUGUCAUACAAGCAUCUACAGCAUCAAGUCACAGGGUUGGCAAGUGUAUUUUUGAACCUUCAAAGCAGUCACGCAUACGGAAGAGUAGUUUCUGAUCCCAUAGAAGGAGCACCGUACAAUGAGAGACCGCUCUUAGUUCUAAGGAACGCAGCAGGCGCGUAAAUUGCCCAAUGCUAGUACCCUACAAUCAUACUAUAUUUGCAAUUUACUUUAUUACGCAUUACGACACUGUACUAUUUUAUUCUGUUAUACACACACACACACACAUCCUUGUUCACACGCGUAAGUAAGUUAUUAUAUAUAUACGUAUAUUUUAUUUACUGAGGCAGUGACAAGCUGUAACGGUUGAGUAUAAAAAUGACGAGUGUCUGGCAUUGCCGCUCCUUCGGGAGCUUGGCAAGUUGCCGACGCUUUGUGUGCUCAAUUGGAAUGCGGUGAGUUUAAGCAACUCAGAACCUUUUAACGGUGUUACGUAAAAAUUUCACUGUUGAUGUAUCUGAAUUCAAGUGGAGGGCAAGUCUGGUGC
This 1154-nucleotide ribosomal RNA is filed under the name Uvigerina peregrina. Its description in RNAcentral is "SSU rRNA". It matches the Rfam family "Eukaryotic small subunit ribosomal RNA", at positions 36 to 569 of the family's 1831-position model. Lineage: Eukaryota; Foraminifera; Rotaliida; Uvigerinidae. The record is from RNAcentral.